UACGUAGGUGGCAAGCGUUGUCCGGAUUUACUGGGCGUAAAGGGCGUGCAGGCGGUUUGUUAAGUGCAGGGUGAAAGCUCCCGGCUCAACUGGGAGAGGUCCUUGCAUACUGGCAGACUUGAGGGAGGCAGAGGAAAGUGGAAUUCCCGGUGUAGUGGUGAUAUGCGUAGAUAUCGGGAGGAACACCUGUGGCGAAGGCGGCUUUCUGGGCCUUACCUGACGCUGAGACGCGAAAGCAUGGGGAGCGAACAGG
RNAcentral lists this ribosomal RNA (253 nucleotides) under uncultured bacterium. RNAcentral describes it as "partial 16S ribosomal RNA". It matches the Rfam family "Bacterial small subunit ribosomal RNA", at positions 524 to 776 of the family's 1533-position model. The record is from RNAcentral.